AAAUUGAAGAGUUUGAUCAUGGCUCAGAUUGAACGCUGGCGGCAGGCCUAACACAUGCAAGUCGAACGGUAACAGGAAACAGCUUGCUGUUUCGCUGACGAGUGGCAGACGGGUGAGUAAUGUCUGGGAAACUGCCCGAUGGAGGGGGAUAACUACUGGAAACGGUAGCUAAUACCGCAUAACGUCGCAAGACCAAAGAGGGGGACCUUCGGGCCUCUUGCUAUCGGAUGUG
RNAcentral lists this ribosomal RNA (232 nucleotides) under Shigella flexneri. RNAcentral's name for it is "partial 16S ribosomal RNA". It matches the Rfam family "Bacterial small subunit ribosomal RNA", at positions 1 to 229 of the family's 1533-position model. The record is from RNAcentral. Lineage: Bacteria; Pseudomonadati; Pseudomonadota; Gammaproteobacteria; Enterobacterales; Enterobacteriaceae.